This 788-nucleotide ribosomal RNA is filed under the name Streptomyces sp. 16-7. Its description in RNAcentral is "bacterial SSU rRNA". It matches the Rfam family "Bacterial small subunit ribosomal RNA", at positions 57 to 859 of the family's 1533-position model. The record is from RNAcentral. Lineage: Bacteria; Bacillati; Actinomycetota; Actinomycetes; Kitasatosporales; Streptomycetaceae. RNAcentral also lists the same sequence under 1 other name.
GCAAGUCGUACGAUGAAGCCCUUCGGGGUGGAUUAGUGGCGAACGGGUGAGUAACACGUGGGCAAUCUGCCCUUCACUCUGGGACAAGCCCUGGAAACGGGGUCUAAUACCGGAUACCACUCCUGCCUGCAUGGGCGGGGGUUGAAAGCUCCGGCGGUGAAGGAUGAGCCCGCGGCCUAUCAGCUUGUUGGUGGGGUAAUGGCCCACCAAGGCGACGACGGGUAGCCGGCUCUGAGAGGGCGACCGGCCACACUGGGACUGAGACACGGCCCAGACUCCUACGGGAGGCAGCAGUGGGGAAUAUUGCACAAUGGGCGAAAGCCUGAUGCAGCGACGCCGCGUGAGGGAUGACGGCCUUCGGGUUGUAAACCUCUUUCAGCAGGGAAGAAGCGAAAGUGACGGUACCUGCAGAAGAAGCGCCGGCUAACUACGUGCCAGCAGCCGCGGUAAUACGUAGGGCGCAAGCGUUGUCCGGAAUUAUUGGGCGUAAAGAGCUCGUAGGCGGCUUGUCACGUCGGAUGUGAAAGCCCGAGGCUUAACCUCGGGUCUGCAUUCGAUACGGGCUAGCUAGAGUGUGGUAGGGGAGAUCGGAAUUCCUGGUGUAGCGGUGAAAUGCGCAGAUAUCAGGAGGAACACCGGUGGCGAAGGCGGAUCUCUGGGCCAUUACUGACGCUGAGGAGCGAAAGCGUGGGGAGCGAACAGGAUUAGAUACCCUGGUAGUCCACGCCGUAAACGUUGGGAACUAGGUGUUGGCGACAUUCCACGUCGUCGGUGCCGCAGCUAACGCA